UACGUAGGGGGCAAGCGUUGUCCGGAUUUAUUGGGCGUAAAGAGCGUGUAGGCGGCUUGGUAGGUCUUGCGUCAAAACCUGAGGCUCAACCUCAGUUCGCGUGGGAAACCAUCUAGCUAGAGUCCGGAAGAGGAGAACGGAAUUCCCAGUGUAGCGGUGAAAUGCGUAGAUAUCUGGAGGAACACCGGUGGCGAAGGCAGCUCGCUGGGACGGUACUGACGCUGAGGCGCGAAAGCGUGGGGAGCGAACAGG
This 252-nucleotide ribosomal RNA is filed under the name uncultured bacterium. RNAcentral describes it as "partial 16S ribosomal RNA". It matches the Rfam family "Bacterial small subunit ribosomal RNA", at positions 524 to 776 of the family's 1533-position model. The record is from RNAcentral.